UACGUAGGGGGCAAGCGUUGUCCGGAAUCAUUGGGCGUAAAGCGCGUGUAGGCGGCUCGAUAAGUCUGCUGUGAAAGUCCAGGGUUCAACCCUGGGAUGCCGGUGGAUACUGUCGAGCUCGAGUCCGGAAGAGGCGAGUGGAAUUCCGGGUGUAGUGGUGAAAUGCGUAGAGAUCCGGAGGAACACCAGUGGCGAAGGCGACACGCUGGGCCGUACCUGACACUGAUGCGCGACAGCAUGGGGAGCAAACAGG
This 253-nucleotide ribosomal RNA is filed under the name uncultured bacterium. Its description in RNAcentral is "partial 16S ribosomal RNA". It matches the Rfam family "Bacterial small subunit ribosomal RNA", at positions 524 to 776 of the family's 1533-position model. The record is from RNAcentral.